Molecule: small RNA, 140 nt
Filed under: Priestia koreensis
Lineage: Bacteria; Bacillati; Bacillota; Bacilli; Caryophanales; Bacillaceae
Description: Bacillus koreensis c-di-AMP sequence
Rfam family: c-di-AMP riboswitch aptamer (ydaO/yuaA leader)
About the family: This family represents a conserved RNA structure found upstream of the ydaO and yuaA genes in Bacillus subtilis and related genes in other bacteria. The ydaO/yuaA element is thought to act as a genetic "off" switch for the ydaO and yuaA genes in its native state.
Source: Rfam by way of RNAcentral
AAUUAUAUAAAGCUUAAUCUAUUAGAGCGGGGGACCCGACCUGGUACUAUGUGCCUAGGGGUGAAUCCUUUUUGUGAAAAGGUAGGAUACUCUCAAAUCCGAAUCCGACAGCUAACCUCGUAUGCUCAUUGAGAGAAAGA